UCUAAAUUUGACAGUCCCCACACGGUAUUGUAGAAGCAGCAGCAACAGCUCUGUAUGGGGUGUAUCGCAACUUUGAAAGAUGACAUGCAGAAAGUCACCACCAACUGCGCUCUCUCCGUUCACUUCCUUCCCCAUUUUGCCCUUCAUCUUUUCAUCUUUUUACCUUCUUGUCCUUCCUAACAUUUUUUCUUUUCUAUUGGGAAAAUCGGAUUCUUUCUGGCCAUUGAGAAGCAUGGCGUGGAGAAGGACAUUGUCGAGUACAUCAAGAAGGAGUUCGAUAAGAAGUAUGGCGCCACUUGGCAUUGCAUCGUUGGGCGCAAUUUUGGGGUUCAACGAAAACUGGAAAUGGAUUAUCAGGUUGCUAGUAAAAAAGAGAAGUCACUAAAGAGCUAUGCCAAAUAGCCGAGGCAGCAACCACUAGCAAGAAACACCCCAGGUAUGCACAUACUAUUUAAUUAGGCUAAAGAUUACAAAAUAUAUGAAGCUUUGUAGUGGAAAUAAUGGCUCUUCAAUGGAGCUCAUCAUUUUAUUGAGUUAUCUCAAGAAAGUGUACUUCUAUAUUCAUGCAUGCAUACUGUGAUUGUGAUGAGGCUGUUAACUGGAUGGUUUUUUGGUAGAUUGUAGCAUUGUCAAUGACAGGUGCUGAGUGCAUAAAGUUAACCAAAGGCCUGACGUCUCAUGUUUCACAUUAAAAUUAUGAUCCGCAACCAAGCUUGAUCCUUCUGUUGCUUGUGUAUUUCUCCCAGCCCAAAUGCCUUAUGUCAUUAUAGCAAGUAGGCUGUUAAAGUUGAAGAUAUAGAUCCUAAAAAAAUGAUUAAAAUGUAGCCCCCCAAUGCCCUGUUUGGUUGUCACUUUUUUAUAUUUAUUCAGUAAGUUCGGGAGUGU
Molecule: long non-coding RNA, 885 nt
Organism: Magnolia sinica
Lineage: Eukaryota; Viridiplantae; Streptophyta; Magnoliopsida; Magnoliales; Magnoliaceae
Exons: 3
Source: RefSeq, a predicted model, not a curated record